This 68-nucleotide transfer RNA is filed under the name Cerceris sp. SJW-2017. Its description in RNAcentral is "tRNA-Trp". Lineage: Eukaryota; Metazoa; Arthropoda; Insecta; Hymenoptera; Crabronidae. The record is from RNAcentral.
AAAAUUUUAAGUUAAAAAAACUAUUAACUUUCAAAGUUAAAUAUAUAUAUUAAAAUUUAUAAAUUUUA